GAAGGGAAUGAGCGGCGGACGGGUGAGUAACACGUAAGGAACCUGCCUUAAGGAUUGGGAUAACUCCGAGAAAUCGGAGCUAAUACCGAAUAGUUCUUCAGACCGCAUGGUCUGAUGAUGAAAGGCGCUCCGGCGUCACCUUGAGAUGGCCUUGCGGUGCAUUAGCUAGUUGGUGGGGUAAUGGCCCACCAAGGCGACGAUGCAUAGCCGACCUGAGAGGGUGAUCGGCCACACUGGGACUGAGACACGGCCCAGACUCCUACGGGAGGCAGCAGUAGGGAAUCUUCCACAAUGGACGAAAGUCUGAUGGAGCAACGCCGCGUGAGUGAUGAAGGUUUUCGGAUCGUAAAACUCUGUUGUAAGGGAAGAACAGGUGUGAGAGGUAAUGCUCAUGCUAUGACGGUACCUUACGAGAAAGCCACGGCUAACUACGUGCCAGCAGCCGCGGUAAUACGUAGGUGGCAAGCGUUGUCCGGAAUUAUUGGGCGUAAAGCGCGCGCAGGCGGCCUUUUAAGUCUGAUGUGAAAGCCCCCGGCUCAACCGGGGA
RNAcentral lists this ribosomal RNA (547 nucleotides) under uncultured Exiguobacterium sp. RNAcentral describes it as "bacterial SSU rRNA". It matches the Rfam family "Bacterial small subunit ribosomal RNA", at positions 84 to 619 of the family's 1533-position model. Lineage: Bacteria; Bacillati; Bacillota; Bacilli; Caryophanales. The record is from RNAcentral.